UACGAAGGGGGCUAGCGUUGUUCGGAAUUACUGGGCGUAAAGCGCGCGCAGGCGGCCUUUCAAGUCAGGGGUGAAAGCCCGGAGCUCAACUCCGGAAUUGCCUUUGAAACUGUCAGGCUCGAGUACGGGAGAGGUGAGUGGAAUUCCCAGUGUAGAGGUGAAAUUCGUAGAUAUCGGGAGGAACACCGGUGGCGAAGGCGGCGAUCUGGGUCGAUACUGACGCUGAGGUGCGAAAGCGUGGGGAGCAAACAGG
RNAcentral lists this ribosomal RNA (253 nucleotides) under uncultured bacterium. Its description in RNAcentral is "partial 16S ribosomal RNA". It matches the Rfam family "Bacterial small subunit ribosomal RNA", at positions 524 to 776 of the family's 1533-position model. The record is from RNAcentral.